CUUCGUCGUCGGCGGAAGCCAGUACGCCAGCGGCUGAGCCAGCGCCGUACUUCUGUUCGAACUGAGCUUUAAGUGACGGGUCGGCCUUCAGGGCGGCUAUAGCCCCGGCGGGGGCGUUGACAGAGGAACGNNNNNNNNNCUUGGCUCCCUUCAUAUAAGGCGAGUAAUCCUUGUUGAAGUCGGGGUUAAACCUUCGGCCACCAAGCGCCUUCUUGUCGGGGAUCGUGAUCGGAUUUUCGUCGGCAAACUUGUUCCAAGCAGCGUCAGCGCCAUUGAUGUUG
Molecule: unclassified non-coding RNA, 281 nt
Filed under: Hevea brasiliensis (rubber tree)
Lineage: Eukaryota; Viridiplantae; Streptophyta; Magnoliopsida; Malpighiales; Euphorbiaceae
Source: RNAcentral